AAAGUAAAUGCAACAAUAUGAGUGGAAAAGAUCCACAACUACACACAGUAUCUGCUUGUUAUUAUUUGUCAGUUAUGUUCACGUGUGAAGAAAAGCAUCAGUUAUCCCCUCAGUACUGCAAUAAACAGUUACAAAGGAAACUGUGACCUCAAAUGACAUAUGAAGAAAUAAAUAAUACUAAAAAUUGUCUGAAGAGACCAUGGAAAAUGAACUAAUUCAUAACCGAAUAUUGAAUCUACUUCAACUUGCAAGUGAAGCAAAAUUCCACAGGCUGAUUUUUCUUCAGUAGAUCUUAGGGGUUCUUAAGAGAUCUGAUAGAAAUACACACACCCUACAGGCUACUUU
RNAcentral lists this long non-coding RNA (345 nucleotides) under Bos taurus (domestic cattle). RNAcentral's name for it is "long non-coding RNA NONBTAT000146". The record is from RNAcentral. Lineage: Eukaryota; Metazoa; Chordata; Mammalia; Artiodactyla; Bovidae.